UAGAGUUUGAUCUUGGCUCAGGACGAACGUUGGCGGUGCGCCUAAUGCAUGCAAGUCGAACGGGCGAAGGGACUUCGGUCCCCUAGCUAGUGGCAGACGGCUGAGUAACACGUAAAUGAUCUGCCCCGAAGUGAGGGACAACCCCGAGAAAUCGGGCCUAAUACCUCGUAAGUUCAUUGGAUCACGGUCCAGUGAAGAAAGGUUUCGGCCACUUUGGGAGGAGUUUGCGGCCUAUCAGGUAGUUGGUGGGGUAAUAGCCUACCAAGCCGAAGACGGGUAACCGGUGUGAGAGCACGAUCGGUCAGAGGGGGACUGAGACACGGCCCCCACUCCUACGGGAGGCAGCAGCAGGGAAUCUUGCACAAUGGACGAAAGUCUGAUGCAGCGACACCGCGUGAGGGAAGAAGGCCUUCGGGUUGUAAACCUCUUUUAUCAGGGAAGAGUAAGGACUGUACCUGACGAAUAAGGACCGGCUAACUACGUGCCAGCAGCCGCGGUAAUACGUAGGGUUCAAACGUUGUCCGGAUUUACUGGGCGUAAAGAGCGCGUAGGCGGUUUGUUAAGUCUCAUGUGAAAUCUCCCGGCUCAACUGGGAGGGGUCAUGGGAAACUGACAGGCUUGAGGGUAGCAGAGGAAAGCGGAAUUCCCGGAGUAGUGGUGAAAUGCGUAGAUACCGGGAGGAACACCAGAGGCGAAGGCGGCUUUCUGGGCUAUU
RNAcentral lists this ribosomal RNA (715 nucleotides) under Dehalococcoidia bacterium. RNAcentral's name for it is "bacterial SSU rRNA". It matches the Rfam family "Bacterial small subunit ribosomal RNA", at positions 1 to 738 of the family's 1533-position model. Lineage: Bacteria; Bacillati; Chloroflexota; Dehalococcoidia. The record is from RNAcentral.